Molecule: ribosomal RNA, 465 nt
Filed under: Vreelandella stevensii
Lineage: Bacteria; Pseudomonadati; Pseudomonadota; Gammaproteobacteria; Oceanospirillales; Halomonadaceae
Description: partial 16S ribosomal RNA
Rfam family: Bacterial small subunit ribosomal RNA
Source: RNAcentral
CCUACGGGAGGCUGCAGUGGGGAAUAUUGGACAAUGGGCGAAAGCCUGAUCCAGCCAUGCCGCGUGUGUGAAGAAGGCCUUCGGGUUGUAAAGCACUUUCAGUGGGGAAGAAAGCCUUGGGGCUAAUACCCUCGAGGAAGGACAUCACCCACAGAAGAAGCACCGGCUAACUCCGUGCCAGCAGCCGCGGUAAUACGGAGGGUGCGAGCGUUAAUCGGAAUUACUGGGCGUAAAGCGCGCGUAGGCGGUCUGAUAAGCCGGUUGUGAAAGCCCCGGGCUCAACCUGGGAACGGCAUCCGGAACUGUCAGGCUAGAGUGCAGGAGAGGAAGGUAGAAUUCCCGGUGUAGCGGUGACAUGCGUAGAGAUCGGGAGGAAUACCAGUGGCGAAGGCGGCCUUCUGGACUGACACUGACGCUGAGGUGCGAAAGCGUGGGUAGCAAACAGGAUUAGAUACCCCAGUAGUC